RNAcentral lists this ribosomal RNA (316 nucleotides) under uncultured bacterium. Its description in RNAcentral is "bacterial SSU rRNA". It matches the Rfam family "Bacterial small subunit ribosomal RNA", at positions 146 to 496 of the family's 1533-position model. The record is from RNAcentral.
ACACGAGGAAACUUGUGCUAAUACCGGAUAAGCCCUUACGGGGAAAGUUUUAACGCCGAAAGAUGAGCCCGCACUUGAUUAGCUAGUUGGUGAGGUAAUAGCUCACCAAGGCAACGAUCAAUAGCUGUUCUUAGAGGAAGACCAGCCACAUUGGGACUGAGACACGGCCCAAACUCCUACGGGAGGCAGCAGUAGGGAAUCUUGCACAAUGGGGGAAACCCUGAUGCAGCGAUGCCGCGUGAGUGAAGAAGGCCCUUGGGUUGUAAAACUCUUUCGUCGGGGAAGAAAAUGACUGUACCCGAAUAAGAAGGUCCGG